UGCAGUAAGAGAUGAACAUUCCCUUUGGAGAGACACACUAGGUCACUACAAAUGGGCCACUGAAGAACCUGGCACUGGCCGCUAUCACUGGCCCCAGCUGCAGUGCUGCUUGCUGUUCACAGAUUGUGAAUUCCAUGAAAGCAGGGACUGUGCUUUCUGAGUCUCUAGCCAAGCACCUGCCACAUGGAUACCUCAUGGAAACUUGACAGAACAAAGGAUUUAUUUUUUAUUAGGUUAAAUCUGCUUCUUGGGUACUGUUUGCUUGCUGCCCAUUAAGUCUGGACAUCUCAAUUUGAAAAAAAGGCACUUGGAUUAAUAAAAACAACCUGAAACAGAUCCCUUUAGUGGGGUGACUCUGUAUUAUGUUAAAACGUAAUGUGACAAACACGGCUGCAGCGCCCUCC
This 404-nucleotide long non-coding RNA is filed under the name Homo sapiens (human). RNAcentral describes it as "HSALNT0008489". Lineage: Eukaryota; Metazoa; Chordata; Mammalia; Primates; Hominidae. The record is from RNAcentral.